RNAcentral lists this ribosomal RNA (498 nucleotides) under uncultured bacterium. Its description in RNAcentral is "partial 16S ribosomal RNA". It matches the Rfam family "Bacterial small subunit ribosomal RNA", at positions 28 to 507 of the family's 1533-position model. The record is from RNAcentral.
GACGAACGCUGGCGGCGUGCCUAAUACAUGCAAGUCGAACGAGAGCGACCGGUGCUUGCACUGGUCAAUCUAGUGGCGAACGGGUGAGUAACACGUGGGUAACCUGCCCAUCAGAGGGGGAUAACAUUCGGAAACGGAUGCUAAAACCGCAUAGGUCUUCGAACCGCAUGGUUUGAAGAGGAAAAGAGGCGCAAGCUUCUGCUGAUGGAUGGACCCGCGGUGCAUUAGCUAGUUGGUGAGGUAACGGCUCACCAAGGCCGUGAUGCAUAGCCGACCUGAGAGGGUGAUCGGCCACAUUGGGACUGAGACACGGCCCAAACUCCUACGGGAGGCAGCAGUAGGGAAUCUUCCGCAAUGGACGCAAGUCUGACGGAGCGACGCCGCGUGAGUGAAGAAGGUCUUCGGAUCGUAAAACUCUGUUGUUAGAGAAGAAUAAGUGCUAGAGUAACUGUUAGCGCCUUGACGGUAUCUAACCAGAAAGCCACGGCUAACUACGUG